This 108-nucleotide ribosomal RNA is filed under the name uncultured bacterium. RNAcentral describes it as "partial 16S ribosomal RNA". It matches the Rfam family "Bacterial small subunit ribosomal RNA", at positions 1365 to 1482 of the family's 1533-position model. The record is from RNAcentral.
AAUACGUUCCCGGACCUUGCACACACCGCCCGUCAAGCCAUGGAAGCUGGGUGUACCUAAAGUCGGUAACCGCAAGGAGCUGCCUAGGGUAAAACUAGUAACUGGGCU